This 107-nucleotide small nuclear RNA is filed under the name Prolemur simus (greater bamboo lemur). Lineage: Eukaryota; Metazoa; Chordata; Mammalia; Primates; Lemuridae. The record is from RNAcentral.
GUGCUCAUUUUGGCAGCACAUAUACCAAAAUUGGAAUAAUACAGAUAAGAUUAGCAUGGCCUCUGCACAAGGAUGACACACAAAUUCGUGAAGCGUUCCCUAUUUCG